GACGAACGCUGGCGGCGUGCUUAACACAUGCAAGUCGAACGGAAAGGCCCUGCUUUUGUGGGGUGCUCGAGUGGCGAACGGGUGAGUAACACGUGAGUAACCUGCCCCUGACUUUGGGAUAACUUCAGGAAACUGGGGCUCAUACCGGAUAGGAGCUCCUGCUGCAUGGUGGUGGUUGGAAAGUUUCGGCGGUUGGGGAUGGACUCGCGGCUUAUCAGCUUGUUGGUGGGGUAGUGGCUUACCAAGGCUUUGACGGGUAGCCGGCCUGAGAGGGUGACCGGCCACAUUGGGACUGAGAUACGGCCCAGACUCCUACGGGAGGCAGCAGUGGGGAAUAUGGCACAAUGGGGGGAAGCCUGAUGCAGCAACGCCGCGUGCGGGAUGACGGCCUUCGGGUUGUAAACCGCUUUCGCCUGUGACGAAGCGUGAGUGACGGUAAUGGGUAAAGAAGCACCGGCUAACUACGUG
Molecule: ribosomal RNA, 468 nt
Filed under: uncultured bacterium
Lineage: Bacteria
Description: partial 16S ribosomal RNA
Rfam family: Bacterial small subunit ribosomal RNA
Source: RNAcentral